GAAAAAUUUCCGAAACAUGUUUAUUAACCCUUUAUUCCGACGUGUCCUGAAAUUUAAAGCAAGAAUGGCACCUGUCGAAUGUUUGUAACGUCUGAAAAUUGUUGUCAUAACGUCCAAAAAAAUACUAUUAUACCUUCGAUAUCUCUAGAAUCCAUCUCCUUUCAAAUUAUAAUAACUGUUUCAGCAAAACAUCACAGUAAAAUUCGCAGGGUCAAUGCUAUCGAAAAUUGUUUUAGAUAUUCGCAUAUCAGCCCCACGCACCACGCAAAUAGAACUAAUAUGCCUCUAUUUACAGCGAAGGGUCGCUGUGUGCGGUACAAUAUUCAUCAGUCACCGCCACCGGAUGUUUGGUCAUUGAUAUGAAAAGAUGUUUGCCCCUUCUAAGAUAUCGACUACCCAAAGACGGCACCGCCAAGUACAACAGAUUGCUGGUUGCGGUUUUUCGAAAAACUUCUCUCGUGUUGAACCAACUACCCGACCGAUUGCAGUCACUUUGCAUUGAAUCGUGAAAGAGAGAACUGAAUUUGGUGAAGGUUGGCAUCAGAUUGCGAAGUUCAUAUAGAAAAUAUUAAACUGUUCAAGCAACAACAUGAAGUGGAGUCGUAUUUUCAAAUCAACCAAAUCAUUCGAUAAACCUGUUGCUAUGAAAUCACCUCUUCGGAAACCAUGUUGCAGGAAAUGUGCUCUUGCCUGCAAGUGCAAACACCACAAACGUAUUCUGCGAACCGUCCCUAUCAACCACUUCACGGAUGGGAUCUUACCGUAAUAUGAUAGUUUGAUGAGUAUGUAAUAAAGUUUAACAAAUAAAAAUUGCGAAUGAUGUAAUUACUUUGAA
Molecule: long non-coding RNA, 835 nt
Organism: Topomyia yanbarensis
Lineage: Eukaryota; Metazoa; Arthropoda; Insecta; Diptera; Culicidae
Exons: 2
Source: RefSeq, a predicted model, not a curated record